UAGGGAAUCUUCCGCAAUGGACGCAAGUCUGACGGAGCAACGCCGCGUGAGUGAAGAAGGAUUUCGGUUCGUAAAACUCUGUUGUUAGAGAAGAACAGCGCAUAGAGUAACUGUUAUGCGUGUGACGGUAUCUAACCAGAAAGCCACGGCUAACUACGUGCCAGCAGCCGCGGUAAUACGUAGGUGGCAAGCGUUGUCCGGAUUUAUUGGGCGUAAAGCGAGCGCAGGCGGUCAAUUAAGUCUGAUGUGAAAGCCCCCGGCUCAACCGGGGAGGGUCAUUGGAAACUGGUUGACUUGAGUGCCGAAGAGGAGAGUGGAAUUCCAUGUGUAGCGGUGAAAUGCGUAGAUAUAUGGAGGAACACCAGUGGCGAAGGCGACUCUCUGGUCUGUAACUGACGCUGAGGCUCGAAAGCGUGGGUAGCAAACAGG
RNAcentral lists this ribosomal RNA (429 nucleotides) under Bacteroidota bacterium. RNAcentral's name for it is "Bacteroidetes bacterium partial 16S ribosomal RNA". It matches the Rfam family "Bacterial small subunit ribosomal RNA", at positions 355 to 776 of the family's 1533-position model. The record is from RNAcentral. Lineage: Bacteria; Pseudomonadati; Bacteroidota.